Long non-coding RNA from Polypterus senegalus (gray bichir), 1002 nucleotides. RefSeq lists it as uncharacterized. The transcript is spliced from 5 exons. Lineage: Eukaryota; Metazoa; Chordata; Cladistia; Polypteriformes; Polypteridae. The record is from RefSeq and is a predicted model, not a curated record.
AUCCAUGCUUCUUAUUUUACGAGAUUUGCAUCGCGCAUGUGCUAUCUGCUUUUAUAACGUCUUGAAAGAAUAUUUGUCAUCCUGAAGAAUUUAACACGAUUCGGACACAGGCGGAGUGAAAUAAAAUAAGACGUGUGUCCGUGAACUUUAGAAUGUUAUUUUUUUUACUUUGUGACCCAGCUAUUUGUACGCACAUCGUAUUGAUAUAAAGGCGAUAAGGAUUUUCGUUUUCAGUUGCAAUACGACCUACGUAAUCCCGUAAUUUAAAGGAUACCCAGCGGUAAUCAGCCCUCCGAGUUGCUGAACAGAUGCCAUGUACCCGAAUUUCCGAGACGCAACUGAAUGUCUUCUUCUUCUGCUUUUAAGAUUCCCAGUUCGAGGUGAUGUGCAGUUAAUCUUAGAUGUGCUGUCUCUAGUGACCAGAAAUAAUCCGUGUGUGAAUCCUCACAAACACAGUGAAUGAGGCACAACAGUACCAACAAUCACAAAACAGUUAUGUGGAGGAGUCUGGCCAUGUUAUGGAGCAGCAGUUAAAGAAAAAGAAAGGACAGAUGUGUGGCAUGUUGAAGUAGUCGGUGGCCCUCUUGACCAGCAACCCAAGAAAUGUCCAUCUAAAUCUCUGGUGUGGAUCUACUGUAUCUUUGCCAAGUGAUCACGAGUUUAUUGCAGUGGUGCCCUGCAUCACUGCCAUCUGUUAAGUCAACUCCAAAUGCCAGUGGUGUUGGAGAGAAGAAAAAGUUCACAGGAUACCCUGAAAUUCUGAUUAGACGAAGAUGGCUACCUUUACACUUCUCAUCAAGUUUUAGAACACCUGAGUUUUUUUUCCUGUUUUUUUUUUUAAAUUUAAUCAGUUGAAAUGCAGUGAAUGACCUAAAAUGGCGAAAAGGUAAGCAGUAAACCGCUAGAGUUUUAAAUUUAGAAUUCAUAUUAGCAAAAACUGAAAAAAGGAAAGUUUAGAAUAUUACAAAUGGGCCUUCUUUGGGGAACAACUAAUAGGUUACA